UACGUAGGGCGCAAGCGUUGUCCGGAAUUAUUGGGCGUAAAGAGCUCGUAGGCGGUUUGUCGCGUCUGCUGUGAAAACCUAAGGCUCAACCUUGGGCUUGCAGUGGGUACGGGCAGACUAGAGUGCGGUAGGGGUGACUGGAAUUCCUGGUGUAGCGGUGGAAUGCGCAGAUAUCAGGAGGAACACCGAUGGCGAAGGCAGGUCAGCCUAGGGCCGCAACUGA
Molecule: ribosomal RNA, 223 nt
Filed under: uncultured bacterium
Lineage: Bacteria
Description: partial 16S ribosomal RNA
Rfam family: Bacterial small subunit ribosomal RNA
Source: RNAcentral